AUUGAACGCUGGCGGCAGGCCUAACACAUGCAAGUCGGACGGUAGCACAGAGAGCUUGCUCUCGGGUGACGAGUGGCGGAUGGGGAGUAAUGUCUGGGGAUCUGCCCGAUAGAGGGGGAUAACCACUGGAAACGGUGGCUAAUACCGCAUAACGUCGCAAGACCAAAGAGGGGGACCUUCGGGCCUCUCACUAUCGGAUGAACCCAGAUGGGAUUAGCUAGUAGGCGGGGUAACGGCCCACCUAGGCGACGAUCCCUAGCUGGUCUGAGAGGAUGACCAGCCACACUGGAACUGAGACACGGUCCAGACUCCUACGGGAGGCAGCAGUGGGGAAUAUUGCACAAUGGGCGCAAGCCUGAUGCAGCCAUGCCGCGUGUAUGAAGAAGGCCUUCGGGUUGUAAAGUACUUUCAGCGGGGAGGAAGGCGAUGUGGUUAAUAACCGUAUCGAUUGACGUUACCCGCAGAAGAAGCACCGGCUAACUCCGUGCCAGCCGCCGCAGUAA
This 503-nucleotide ribosomal RNA is filed under the name uncultured bacterium. RNAcentral describes it as "partial 16S ribosomal RNA". It matches the Rfam family "Bacterial small subunit ribosomal RNA", at positions 29 to 523 of the family's 1533-position model. The record is from RNAcentral.